This 511-nucleotide ribosomal RNA is filed under the name uncultured bacterium. RNAcentral describes it as "bacterial SSU rRNA". It matches the Rfam family "Bacterial small subunit ribosomal RNA", at positions 34 to 518 of the family's 1533-position model. The record is from RNAcentral.
CGCUGGCGGCGUGCCUAAUACAUGCAAGUCGAACGGUCUUUCUAUGGAAGCUUGCUUCCACUGAGAAGAUAGUGGCGAACGGGUGAGUAACACGUGGGUAACCUGCCCAUAAGAGGGGGAUAACAUCCGGAAACGGGUGCUAAUACCGCAUAGUUUUCUUGAUUGCAUGAUUGAGAAAGGAAAGACGGCCUUUGUGCUGUCGCUUAUGGAUGGACCCGCGGCGUAUUAGUUAGUUGGUGAGGUAACGGCUCACCAAGACGAUGAUACGUAGCCGACCUGAGAGGGUGAUCGGCCACAUUGGGACUGAGACACGGCCCAAACUCCUACGGGAGGCAGCAGUAGGGAAUCUUCCGCAAUGGACGAAAGUCUGACGGAGCAACGCCGCGUGAGUGAAAGAAGGUUUUCGGAUCGUAAAACUCUGUUGUCAGAGAAGAACAAGUUGGAGAGUAACUGCUCCAGCCUUGACGGUAUCUGACCAGAAAGCCACGGCUAACUACGUGCCAGCCGCCGC